UCGUAACAAGGUCUCCGUUGGUGAACCAGCGGAGGGAUCAUUAGAGAGUUGACCCAAACUCCCAAACCCACUGUGAACAUACCCGUACGUUGCCUCGGCGGGGGGGGACCGGCCCAGCUGGGCCCCACCCCUCCGCCGGCGGCCCACCAAACCCUGUUUAGCACUGCAUCUCUGAAGCGAUAAACUAAAUCAGUUAAAACUUUCAACAACGGAUCUCUUGGUUCUGGCAUCGAUGAAGAACGCAGCGAAAUGCGAUACGUAGUGUGAAUUGCAGAAUUUAGUGAAUCAUCGAAUCUUUGAACGCACAUUGCGCCCACCAGUAUUCUGGUGGGCAUGCCUGUUCGAGCGUCAUUUCAACCCCUUAAGCCCUUGUCGCUUAGUGUUGGGAGCCUACGGCGUCCUUUGCCGUCGCUCCUCAAAUCCAGUGGCGGAGCCGGUUUCGCGCUCUGGGCGUAGUAGAUUUUCUCCAUCUCGCCUACAGCCGGGCCCGGCCUUCCCUGCCGUAAAACAAACCCCCCCCCAAUACAGAAGGUUGACCUCGAAUCAGGUAGGAAUACCCGCUGAACCUAAGCAUAUC
Molecule: unclassified non-coding RNA, 577 nt
Filed under: Rosellinia thelena
Lineage: Eukaryota; Fungi; Ascomycota; Sordariomycetes; Xylariales; Xylariaceae
Description: sequence contains 18S rRNA gene, ITS1, 5.8S rRNA gene, ITS2, 28S rRNA gene
Rfam family: 5.8S ribosomal RNA (bases 198-351)
Source: RNAcentral